UCGGGAGUCGUCCAACGGCAGGACAUCGGUUUUUGGCACCGACAAUGGAGGUUCGAGCCCUCCCUCCCGAGCCA
This 74-nucleotide transfer RNA is filed under the name Actinomycetota bacterium. RNAcentral describes it as "tRNA-Gln". It matches the Rfam family "tRNA". Rfam says of the family: Transfer RNA (tRNA) molecules are approximately 80 nucleotides in length. Their secondary structure includes four short double-helical elements and three loops (D, anti-codon, and T loops). Lineage: Bacteria; Bacillati; Actinomycetota. The record is from RNAcentral.